RNAcentral lists this long non-coding RNA (746 nucleotides) under Heterocephalus glaber (naked mole-rat). Its description in RNAcentral is "lncRNA (ENSHGLG00100050363.1)". Lineage: Eukaryota; Metazoa; Chordata; Mammalia; Rodentia; Bathyergidae. The record is from RNAcentral.
GUCUCUCCUAAAGAUAUUAUGCAUAAGUGCACAGCACAUACACACAGGAUGUUCAUGGCAACACUGUGAGUCAUAAUGACCUCAACGUCUACCAUCACAAGACUGGCAAAGUAUAUUAUGAUACACCUACACCUUGGAAAGGUAGGCAGCCAGGAAAAAGAAUGAGGAAAGUAUGUAAGUGGUAAAGAGGAAUAUCACUUGGAUACACCAUGGAGUGCACCAAGAAAGAUUUGUCAAACAAAUUAUACAUGGCCUGGGGUAAUGUGAGGAUUCUAUGUCUACGCAUGUGGACAGCCAGCCUGGAUGAAGCUUGGCUUGCGGUUCUUGCUAAUCAGACCAAAGUGCAGACCCAAAAGUGUCCCGGCGAGCUGCAGAGACCAUUUAGUCAGCGCUUCCCAUGGCCCAGAACAGUGUCGGGUAAGACAUUUAUAAGCAUGGGAUGGGUUACCCCCCCCCAUCACUGAGCUGCACCCCCACCGCGGGUGGAAAUCUCAGCCCUCCAGAGUGGUUCCUCUCUGCGUCCCAUUUUAGAGACGAGAGUCAGAGAGGUGAGGCGCUGUCCACGACGUCCACCUCAGAGGCAGUGCUGGGCGCCCCAGCUGGUCACCUCCUCAGGCUGCCUUCAGGUUCUUGGCUUCCUGUUCUACGCUUUGAGUCCCAAGACCAUCAAACUGUGGGCAUCACCUCUGGCUGGCUUCCGUGUUGUUCCCGAGCCUCUGUCAUCAUUGGUAUAAUUUUACAUCAAC